Molecule: ribosomal RNA, 252 nt
Filed under: uncultured bacterium
Lineage: Bacteria
Description: partial 16S ribosomal RNA
Rfam family: Bacterial small subunit ribosomal RNA
Source: RNAcentral
GACGAGGGGUCCUAGCGUUGUUCGGAAUUACUGGGCGUAAAGCGCAUGUAGGCGGCUUUGUAAGUCAGGUGUGAAAUCUCUGGGCUCAACCCAGAGCGUGCAUUUGAUACUGCUAAGCUUGAGUAUGGGAGAGGGUAGUAGAAUUCCUGGUGUAGUGGUGAAAUACGUAGAUAUCAGGAGGAAUACCGGUGGCGAAGGCGGCUGCCUGGCCCAAUACUGACGUUGAGAUGCGAAAGCGUGGGGAGCAAACAG